UGGCACCUUCGGUGUCCGAGUUGUAAUUUGAAGAAGGUAACUUUGGAGUUGGCUCUUGUCUAUGUUCCUUGGAACAGGACGUCACAGAGGGUGAGAAUCCCGUGCGAUGAGAUGUCCAACUCUAUGUAAAGUGCUUUCGAAGAGUCGAGUUGUUUGGGAAUGCAGCUCUAAGUGGGUGGUAAAUUCCAUCUAAAGCUAAAUAUUGGCGAGAGACCGAUAGCGAACAAGUACAGUGAUGGAAAGAUGAAAAGAACUUUGAAAAGAGAGUGAAAAAGUACGUGAAAUUGUUGAAAGGGAAGGGUUUGAGAUCAGACUUGGUAUUUUGUAUGUCUUGCUUUCGGGUGGGGCCUCUGCAGUUUACUGGGCCAGCAUCGGUUUGGACGG
RNAcentral lists this ribosomal RNA (384 nucleotides) under Scheffersomyces shehatae. Its description in RNAcentral is "eukaryotic LSU rRNA". It matches the Rfam family "Eukaryotic large subunit ribosomal RNA", at positions 123 to 503 of the family's 3401-position model. Lineage: Eukaryota; Fungi; Ascomycota; Pichiomycetes; Serinales; Debaryomycetaceae. The record is from RNAcentral.